RNAcentral lists this ribosomal RNA (254 nucleotides) under uncultured bacterium. RNAcentral describes it as "partial 16S ribosomal RNA". It matches the Rfam family "Bacterial small subunit ribosomal RNA", at positions 524 to 776 of the family's 1533-position model. The record is from RNAcentral.
UACGUAGGGUGCGAGCGUUGUCCGGAAUUAUUGGGCGUAAAGAGCUCGUAGGCGGUCUGUCGCGCCGGUCGUGAAAACUUGGGGCUUAACCCUGAGCUUGCGGUCGAUACGGGCAUGACUGGAGUUCGGUAGGGGAGACUGGAAUUCCUGGUGUAGCGGUGAAAUGCGCAGAUAUCAGGAGGAACACCGGUGGCGAAGGCGGGUCUCUGGGCCGAUACUGACGCUGAGGAGCGAAAGCGUGGGGAGCGAACAGG